This 954-nucleotide ribosomal RNA is filed under the name Bacillus sp. (in: firmicutes). RNAcentral describes it as "bacterial SSU rRNA". It matches the Rfam family "Bacterial small subunit ribosomal RNA", at positions 87 to 1018 of the family's 1533-position model. Lineage: Bacteria; Bacillati; Bacillota; Bacilli; Caryophanales; Bacillaceae. The record is from RNAcentral.
UGAUGUUAGCGGCGGACGGGUGAGUAACACGUGGGUAACCUGCCUGUAAGACUGGGAUAACUCCGGGAAACCGGGGCUAAUACCGGAUGCUUGUUUGAACCGCAUGGUUCAAACAUAAAAGGUGGCUUCGGCUACCACUUACAGAUGGACCCGCGGCGCAUUAGCUAGUUGGUGAGGUAACGGCUCACCAAGGCAACGAUGCGUAGCCGACCUGAGAGGGUGAUCGGCCACACUGGGACUGAGACACGGCCCAGACUCCUACGGGAGGCAGCAGUAGGGAAUCUUCCGCAAUGGACGAAAGUCUGACGGAGCAACGCCGCGUGAGUGAUGAAGGUUUUCGGAUCGUAAAGCUCUGUUGUUAGGGAAGAACAAGUACCGUUCGAAUAGGGCGGUACCUUGACGGUACCUAACCAGAAAGCCACGGCUAACUACGUGCCAGCAGCCGCGGUAAUACGUAGGUGGCAAGCGUUGUCCGGAAUUAUUGGGCGUAAAGGGCUCGCAGGCGGUUCCUUAAGUCUGAUGUGAAAGCCCCCGGCUCAACCGGGGAGGGUCAUUGGAAACUGGGGAACUUGAGUGCAGAAGAAGGAGAGUGGAAUUCCACGUGUAGCGGUGAAAUGCGUAGAGAUGUGGAGGAACACCAGUGGGCGAAGGCGACUCUCUGGUCUGUAACUGACGCUGAGGAGCGAAAGCGUGGGGAGCGAACAGGAUUAGAUACCCUGGUAGUCCACGCCGUAAACGAUGAGUGCUAAGUGGUUAAGGGGGUUUCCGCCCCUUAGUGCUGCAGCUAACGCAUUAAGCACUCCGCCUGGGGGAGUACGGUCGCAAGACUGAAACUCAAAGGAAUUGACGGGGGCCCGCACAAGCGGUGGAGCAUGUGGUUUAAUUCGAAAGCAACGCGAAGAACCUUACCAGGUCUUGACAUCCUCUGACAAUCCUAGAAGAUAGGACGUCCCC